RNAcentral lists this ribosomal RNA (253 nucleotides) under uncultured bacterium. RNAcentral's name for it is "partial 16S ribosomal RNA". It matches the Rfam family "Bacterial small subunit ribosomal RNA", at positions 524 to 776 of the family's 1533-position model. The record is from RNAcentral.
UACGUAGGGUGCAAGCGUUGUCCGGAAUUAUUGGGCGUAAAGGGCUCGUAGGCGGUUUGUCGCGUCGGGAGUGAAAACCUACAGCUUAACUGUGGGCUUGCUUUCGAUACGGGCAGACUUGAGGCAUGCAGGGGAGAACGGAAUUCCUGGUGUAGCGGUGAAAUGCGCAGAUAUCAGGAGGAACACCGGUGGCGAAGGCGGUUCUCUGGGCAUGUUCUGACGCUGAGGAGCGAAAGUGUGGGGAGCGAACAGG